Molecule: ribosomal RNA, 467 nt
Filed under: uncultured bacterium
Lineage: Bacteria
Description: partial 16S ribosomal RNA
Rfam family: Bacterial small subunit ribosomal RNA
Source: RNAcentral
GACGAACGCUGGCGGCGUGCUUAACACAUGCAAGUCGAACGGAAAGGCCUCUUUCGGGGGGUACUCGAGUGGCGAACGGGCGAGUAACACGUGAGUACCCUGCCCUCUACUUUGGGAUAACUUCUGGAAACUGGGGCCAAUACCGGAUAGGAGCUCCUGCCGCAGGGUGGGGGCUGGAAAGUUUCGGCGGUUGGGGGUGAGCUGGCGGCGUAACAGCUUGUUAGUGGGGGGGUGGCUUACCAAGGCCUUGGCGGGAAGCCGGACAGGGUGAGUGACCGGCGGCAUUGGCACCUAGAGGCGGCCCAGGUGCCUAAGAGUGGAAGCAGUGGGGAAUAUUGAACCAUGGAUGGCGGGCUGAUGCAGCAGCGCCGUGUGCGGGAUAACGGCCUUGGGGUUGUAAACCGCUUUCGCUCAUAACGAAGCUUUGUGUGACGGUAGUGAAUAAAGAAGCACCGGCUAACUACGUG